CUGCUGCCUUCCGUAGGAGUUUGGGCCGUGUCUCAGUACCAAUGUGGGGGGUUGACCUCUCAGUCCCCCUAUGUAUCGUCGCCUUGGUGAGCCGUUACCUCACCAACUAGCUAAUACAACGCAUGUCCAUCUCUGACCACCUGAGUUUUCAACCACCGAAGAUGCCUCCGGUGAUGUUAUGGGGUAUUAGUACCAAUUUCUCGAUGUUAUCCCCCUGUCAAAGGUAGGUUACAUACGCGUUACGCACCGUCCGCCGGUCGCCGG
Molecule: ribosomal RNA, 264 nt
Filed under: uncultured bacterium
Lineage: Bacteria
Description: partial 16S ribosomal RNA
Source: RNAcentral